UCAGCAACUCUCAGCGUGAAAAAAUGUUUCCUGAAGUCAUGGGAGCUGUGCUGUUUUCUUACUUUGUAUAUUUUACAGCAUCAAAAAAAAAGAGCAAAUCGACACAUUGGAUAGUCCGAGGUGAGAGUGUAAGAAAAACGACGAGAUGGUCAUUGUUGGAAUGGGUUUUAUUCGUAAAUCAAUUUCAACCAAGGACCUAGCUAAGAUAAUUAGCGUCAGUGUCAGCGAACGGCAAGUUUGAAUGGGAAUCUAUGGGAGAUAACUUGUUUAUACUUCCGUUGUCAAUGUGUAGGCAUGUGCUUUUAGCUCAAACCUCCGGCAAGAUUCGAACUAAACUCGCAGCGACUUUGUCGACAUAGAAAGCCGGCGUUUGUUAUUUUCCUUUCAAAUAUAUUUACAGCAAUUGACUUUUUGCUGAAGAAUGUGACCAUUUGGGAGUACUGUUGGGAAGGGAAAGAGAAAAGCUUUGUGAUCUGGCCUUUGCAUGAAUGUCAGAAUACAAACGAGCCAAGAAAAAUUUACUUUUUGUUGUGGAAAGGUUGCUUG
Octopus sinensis (East Asian common octopus) is the source of this 546-nucleotide long non-coding RNA. RefSeq lists it as uncharacterized. The transcript is spliced from 3 exons. Lineage: Eukaryota; Metazoa; Mollusca; Cephalopoda; Octopoda; Octopodidae. The record is from RefSeq and is a predicted model, not a curated record.